UGGGGGAAUAUUGCACAAUGGGCGCAAGCCUGAUGCAGCAACGCCGCGUGAGGGACGACGGCCUUCGGGUUGUAAACCUCUUUUAGUAGGGAAGAAGCGAAAGUGACGGUACCUGCAGAAAAAGCACCGGCUAACUACGUGCCAGCAGCCGCGGUAAUACGUAGGGUGCGAGCGUUGUCCGGAAUUAUUGGGCGUAAAGAGCUCGUAGGCGGUCUGUCGCGUCUGCUGUGAAAACCCGAGGCUCAACCUCGGGCCUGCAGUGGGUACGGGCAGACUAGAGUGCGGUAGGGGAGAAUGGAAUUCCUGGUGUAGCGGUGGAAUGCGCAGAUAUCAGGAGGAACACCGAUGGCGAAGGCAGUUCUCUGGGCCGUAACUGACGCUGAGGAGCGAAAGCGUGGGGAGCGAACAGGAUUAGAUACCCUGGUAGUCCACGCCGUAAACGUUGGGCGCUAGAUGUGGGGCACCAUUCCACGGUUUCCGUGUCGCAGCUAACGCAUUAAGCGCCCCGCCUGGGGAGUACGGCCGCAAGGCUAAAA
This 536-nucleotide ribosomal RNA is filed under the name uncultured bacterium. Its description in RNAcentral is "partial 16S ribosomal RNA". It matches the Rfam family "Bacterial small subunit ribosomal RNA", at positions 354 to 899 of the family's 1533-position model. The record is from RNAcentral.